AAAAAAUUAAUAUAUAUAUAUAUAGUUGUUUGUCUUUAUCAUGUCUUUAUCCGUAGAAGAGUACAAACAAAACAAAGCUUAGUUCACGUGGACCUGUUGGGUCGUUGGGCCCGCCCUAAGUAAGGAGUUGAGAUCCAGGAAAACUGAAGCCAUAAACGCGGAGGAAAGGAAAUGACAAAGGACCAUUGGUGAUAAUGAUUUGUGACUGAAAACCACAUAACAGUAUAAAGAUCUCCGAAAAUCACAAAUCAUGUGCAUUUUAAAAUAUAUUUCAAAUAAAAAUAACAACAUUUCAACAUCAAAGUUAAAUAUAUCAUUCAUUAUUUUUAUGUUGCUUUGUAUUCUAUUAAUUGGAUUUGAGUUAUAGUUCCUUUCAAACCCAUUGAUUAGUAGUUUUACUGCUGUCUAAGCUAAAUGCUCUUGUAUGAAAAUAUUAUUAUGAAAUUAAAU
Molecule: unclassified non-coding RNA, 450 nt
Filed under: Hevea brasiliensis (rubber tree)
Lineage: Eukaryota; Viridiplantae; Streptophyta; Magnoliopsida; Malpighiales; Euphorbiaceae
Source: RNAcentral